GUGGAGCCAACCUUGAAAUACCACCCUUUAAUGUUUGAUGUUCUAACGUUGCCCCAUUAUCUGGGGUGCGGACAGUGUCUGGUGGGUAGUUUGACUGGGGCGGUCUCCUCCCAAAGAGUAACGGAGGAGCACGAAGGUUGGCUAAGCAUGGUCGGACAUCAUGCGGUUAGUGCAAAGGCAUAAGCCAGCUUGACUGCGAGAGUGACGGCUCGAGCAGGUACGAAAGUAGGUCUUAGUGAUCCGGUGGUUCUGAAUGGAAGGGCCAUCGCUCAACGGAUAAAAGGUACUCCGGGGAUAACAGGCUGAUACCGCCCAAGAGUUCAUAUCGACGGCGGUGUUUGGCACCUCGAUGUCGGCUCAUCACAUCCUGGGGCUGAAGUAGGUCCCAAGGGUACGGCUGUUCGCCGUUUAAAGUGGUACGCGAGCUGGGUUUAGAACGUCGUGAGACAGUUCGGUCCCUAUCUGCCGUGGGCGUUGGAAGAUUGAAAGGGGCUGCUCCUAGUACGAGAGGACCGGAGUGGACGCACCACUGGUGUUCGGGUUGUCAUGCCAAUGGCAUUGCCCGGUAGCUAAGUGCGGAAGAGAUAACCGCUGAAAGCAUCUAAGCGGGAAACUUG
Molecule: ribosomal RNA, 617 nt
Filed under: Providencia rettgeri
Lineage: Bacteria; Pseudomonadati; Pseudomonadota; Gammaproteobacteria; Enterobacterales; Morganellaceae
Description: partial 23S ribosomal RNA
Rfam family: Bacterial large subunit ribosomal RNA
Source: RNAcentral